Molecule: long non-coding RNA, 1518 nt
Filed under: Homo sapiens (human)
Lineage: Eukaryota; Metazoa; Chordata; Mammalia; Primates; Hominidae
Description: HSALNT0144890
Source: RNAcentral
CUCUUUGAGAAAUGGUCCUGAAAGCCACCCCUGUGAUCUUUACGAAGAAAACUUUUCCCCAUAAAUUAUGAAUACAUUUUUCCUCACAAGUCAAAAACAUCCUCUUUGAUCCACCAUCUGUCUUUACUGAACAAUAUUAGAAAUACUGUAAUAAGGCCAGGCACAGUGGCUCAAGCCUGUAAUCUCAGCACUUUGGGAGGCUGAGGCAGGUGGAUCACCUGAGGUCAGGAGUUCAAGGCCAACCUGACCAACAUGGUGAAACCUCAUCUCUACUAAAAAUACAAAAAUUAGCCAGGCAUGGUGGCAGGCACCUGCAGUCCCAGCUAUUUGGGAGGCUGAGGCAGGAGAAUCACUUGAACCCGGGAGGUGAAGGUUGCAGUGAACUGAGAUCGCACCCUUGUACUCCUGCCUGAGCAACAAGAGCAAAACUCUGUCUCAAAAAAAAAAAAAAUACUAUAAUAAAGACAAAGAGGAAUUAAAGGAAUACUGGUAAAAUGUAAGUUAUCUCCUACAGAAACAUUCCCCAAUCGGGGCAACUGAUGAGACCACAGCAUCUCAACCACCGGCCCUACCAAGACAGACCCGCACGCUGGUCCAGGGCUGCUCGAAGCCUGACACCUCUCAGUGGAGACAUGAAGAAUGCCUUAUGCGUACAUUUCUCUGACUCUUCUCUACAGCCUUUUCUGGUUUCAACUCUAGAUUUCUUUUGUGAUUCCGACUCUGUAUCUGCCUCUCCCACUAGAAUGUAGGCACUGCAAUAUAGCAAGGACUGUGUCUGUUUUUGUGCAACUGUUGACUGAAUGAAUACACAGAUGAAUAAAAGAAUAUCUUCUUGUUACACCAACUCUUAGUAAAAAUGCCUUAUGGGUUUAUGACUCAAUCCCAAGUGUUUUUAGGACAAAACCAUAAGGUAUCCAUAGGAAGGCUAUUACUCUACCUUUUACAAAUAGUCUUUACUGUUUGUUUGUUUAUUUUAUAUUUUAUCCUUUUUAGUAGAGACAGGGGUCUUGCUAUGUCACCCAGGCUGGUCUCAAACUCCUGGCCUCAAGUGAUCCUCCUGCCUUGGCCUCCCAAAGUGCUGAGAUUCCAGGCAUGCACCACAGCACCCAGCCUGUUUCAACUAAGAAGCCAACAUUUCUCCAGCAUCAACAUUACUCCAGUACAAGACUUCCAGCACAUUCUUGUCUCUUCUCAUGUCCUCGCUCUUGGACUUGUCUUCAUUGCACAGCUGAGGAGCCAGGAGCUCCAUGGGGUGAGGUGACAGCCAGGGCACCUGGGCAGCAGACCACAGGGCUAGGACUGUGAUUUCCAGUUUGCCCCUCCACCAACAUCAGCCAUCAAAUCAGCUGACCGCCCUGAUGAGGGUCCAUGUGACAUCUCUUGUACUUCAGAAAGAGUCUUGUUCUCCAAACUGAAUCCUUUUUUCACCCAAAACAUACAAGAAUCUGACCUACCUAACACAUGUAUGUUCCCUGAAAAUAUAUACACCUAUUACGUAUCAAUAAAAAUAGACCAAAA